Molecule: RNase MRP RNA, 253 nt
Filed under: Kryptolebias marmoratus (mangrove rivulus)
Lineage: Eukaryota; Metazoa; Chordata; Actinopteri; Cyprinodontiformes; Rivulidae
Description: RNase MRP (ENSKMAG00000014538.1)
Rfam family: RNase MRP
About the family: RNase MRP is an enzymatically active ribonucleoprotein with two distinct roles in eukaryotes.
Source: Rfam by way of RNAcentral
GGGCAUUCAGAAGGUUUGCACUCUGGGCUACAAGCAGAGAACCUGGUUUCUCCCCCCCCCCGCCCAGGGGAAAGUCCCCGGACCCGUGGCAGAAAGUGCCCUUGGUUGAACCCAAGCUCGGGCUGUGCUCCGUCAUCCUUGAGCUGAGACGUUCAUCUGAACAGAGCUCGGCGAUCGCAGCCCGACCUCUGUCAGCAUUGAUAGUAAUGCAAACAAGUUGCAUCAACUCAACGGGGCUCAUUCUCCGAAUGCA